RNAcentral lists this unclassified non-coding RNA (363 nucleotides) under uncultured bacterium. Its description in RNAcentral is "contains 16S-23S intergenic spacer region". The record is from RNAcentral.
UCCCCGUUACCGGGGCAGUCUGACUAGAGAAAUACAACUAGCCAUAAGGGUUGCGCUCGUUGAAGGACUUAACCUAACAUCUCACGACACGAGCUGAAGACGGCCAUGCAACACCUGUCACUAGGUUCCCGAAGGCACUCUCGGCUUUCGCCAAAAUUCCUAGGAAGUCAAGCCUUGGUAAGGUUCUUCGCUUACCAUCGAAUUAAACAACACGCUCCACCGCUUGUGCGGCUCCCCGUCAAUUCCUUUGAGUUUUAGUCUUGCGACCGUACUCCCCAGGCGGAAUACUUAACGCGUUAGCUUCGCUACAUACCGGGUCGAUACGGCAUACAGCUAGUAUUCAUAGUUUACGGCGUGGACUAC